UGAAGAGUUUGAUCAUGGCUCAGAUUGAACGCUGGCGGCAGGCCUAACACAUGCAAGUCGAACGGUAACAGGAAGCAGCUUGCUGCUUCGCUGACGAGUGGCGGACGGGUGAGUAAUGUCUGGGAAACUGCCUGAUGGAGGGGGAUAACUACUGGAAACGGUGGCUAAUACCGCAUAACGUCGCAAGACCAAAGAGGGGGACCUUCGGGCCUCUUGCCAUCAGAUGUGCCCAGAUGGGAUUAGCUUGUUGGUGAGGUAACGGCUCACCAAGGCGACGAUCCCUAGCUGGUCUGAGAGGAUGACCAGCCACACUGGAACUGAGACACGGUCCAGACUCCUACGGGAGGCAGCAGUGGGGAAUAUUGCACAAUGGGCGCAAGCCUGAUGCAGCCAUGCCGCGUGUAUGAAGAAGGCCUUCGGGUUGUAAAGUACUUUCAGCGGGGAGGAAGGUGUUGUGGUUAAUAACCGCAGCAAUUGACGUUACCCGCAGAAGAAGCACCGGCUAACUCCGUGCCAGCAGCCGCGGUAAUACGGAGGGUGCAAGCGUUAAUCGGAAUUACUGGGCGUAAAGCGCACGCAGGCGGUCUGUCAAGUCGGAUGUGAAAUCCCCGGGCUCAACCUGGGAACUGCAUUCGAAACUGGCAGGCUUGAGUCUUGUAGAGGGGGGUAGAAUUCCAGGUGUAGCGGUGAAAUGCGUAGAGAUCUGGAGGAAUACCGGUGGCGAAGGCGGCCCCCUGGACAAAGACUGACGCUCAGGUGCGAAAGCGUGGGGAGCAAACAGGAUUAGAUACCCUGGUAGUCCACGCCGUAAACGAUGUCUACUUGGAGGUUGUGCCCUUGAGGCGUGGCUUCCGGAGCUAACGCGUUAAGUAGACCGCCUGGGGAGUACGGCCGCAAGGUUAAAACUCAAAUGAAUUGACGGGGGCCCGCACAAGCGGUGGAGCAUGUGGUUUAAUUCGAUGCAACGCGAAGAACCUUACCUGGUCUUGACAUCCACAGAACUUUCCAGAGAUGGAUUGGUGCCUUCGGGAACUGUGAGACAGGUGCUGCAUGGCUGUCGUCAGCUCGUGUUGUGAAAUGUUGGGUUAAGUCCCGCAACGAGCGCAACCCUUAUCCUUUGUUGCCAGCGAUUAGG
Molecule: ribosomal RNA, 1135 nt
Filed under: Salmonella enterica
Lineage: Bacteria; Pseudomonadati; Pseudomonadota; Gammaproteobacteria; Enterobacterales; Enterobacteriaceae
Also listed under: 1 other name
Description: bacterial SSU rRNA
Rfam family: Bacterial small subunit ribosomal RNA
Source: RNAcentral